This 496-nucleotide ribosomal RNA is filed under the name uncultured bacterium. RNAcentral's name for it is "partial 16S ribosomal RNA". It matches the Rfam family "Bacterial small subunit ribosomal RNA", at positions 29 to 507 of the family's 1533-position model. The record is from RNAcentral.
AUGAACGCUGGCGGCGUGCCUAAUACCUGCAAGUCGAGCGAACAGACGAGGAGCUUGCUCCUCUGACGUUAGCGGCGGACGGGUGAGUAACACGUGGAUAACCUACCUAUAAGACUGGGAUAACUUCGGGAAACCGGAGCUAAUACCGGAUAAUAUAUUUAACCGCAUGGUUCAAUAGUGAAGGACGGUUUUGCUGUCACUUAUAGAUGGAUCCGCGCCGCAUUAGCUAGUUGGUAAGGUAACGGCUUACCAAGGCAACGAUGCGUAGCCGACCUGAGAGGGUGAUCGGCCACACUGGAACUGAGACACGGUCCAGACUCCUACGGGAGGCAGCAGUAGGGAAUCUUCCGCAAUGGGCGAAAGCCUGACGGAGCAACGCCGCGUGAGUGAUGAAGGUCUUCGGAUCGUAAAACUCUGUUAUUAGGGAAGAACAAAUGUGUAAGUAACUAUGCACGUCUUGACGGUACCUAAUCAGAAAGCCACGGCUAACUACGUG